UAUUAUCACAAAGGACUUUCUACUGUGAUGAAAGCAAGGCCAUCCAGAUGCCCCCGAGCCUCGCCUGGCACUCAGUGGGAGCCCUCUCAGGAGUGGCCUGGUAUCCGUGUGCUUGCUUGACCGACCUCAUGAGAGCAGACCGUGCUCACCAGUAUUUUUCACAGGCUGAGGUGGAGCUGCCGCUUCCCUUCGGUAUCGCACUUAUAAGAAGUCCAAGAGGUGCAGAAUGAGUCCACCGUGGGGACUGCCUAGAUCCCCCAGACGGAGUCGUUGGCACCGGGUACACAGUAUCUGCAACAGGAGAAAAAUGGAAGAAACAUACUUUUAAUGGAAUGGGAUCAACCGAACAGAUAAGGAGACCGGGUUUCUGAAAGCGGAUGGAACUGGCAGAAGGUCAGAGCCUUCAAGAGGCACAACCGAUAGCAACAGUGCGAGAAAGUGAGUGGUGCAGAAUACUGCUGACGGCGUGGUUCUCGUCUUCAUACAGUUUCCAACCUUGAACCUGAGAAUGUCAGAGGCUGGCGUCUCUGGACACCCAUCUGAGCAGUUAUCUGCCGGUGCCCGGCUCCUGAGCGAACGCGUGGGUGUCCCGGGCGUGUGUGGUAACAGCAGUGGUGACACGGAGCGCCCAGAGGUCGCCUCGCUCUCUCCUGGGGAUCCCUGGUCCGUGCUGCCUCUGAUGAACUGUGAACUUGGGGCGUCCUGGCAAGCGCAGGCGUUUGGGAGUCCACGGCAAACCUGGACGUCGCAUAAGCCCAGCUUUUAAAGUGAAAGCAGGGCCUUGGGGAAGGACCGACUCGCCUACUGCGCUGGAAAACAAAGUAAGUGCUGUUUGUUUCUCCCUUAGUCACUCCUCUGCGUGUUUUCUCUUGCUCGCGUUGUUAGACAGCCAGUAUCUGACAGAUGCCGAGUGUAACCCUUCACUGGGAAGGAGGGUAUGAAGUCUGUUCAGUCGUUCAUUGCUGCCUUGAUCUUUUCUGUCCUCCUGUAUCUAGCCUGCUGGCUUGCUUGUUAGAGAUAGCCAGAGACGGAAAGGUCUUAUCCAUGAGAAAACAAGUUGUUGUUGGGUUUUAAUGGUUCAAGAACUUUGCCAUCAAUUAAAUGACAGUGACACAGACGAGGCUUUUUACGUGCCAGGAGCACAUCGAGCUCAACAGCCCCAGUUCACUGCCCUUGUUCUCGCUGGGAAGCAGGAAGAGGUGUGUGUACAAGACAAAUACAGUGUCCCCGUGAGGGGACUGCAGAAAUUAGGUGGGAAUGGCUUCUGGACAAGAGGCUGCAAUUUAAAAACCAGAUUGGUAGUUACAAAAUAGUCACUGGGUGUAAAGUACAGCACGGAAUAUAAUCAAUAACAUUGUAACAACUAUGUAUGGUGUCAGGCUACUAAUACACAGUAACGCUCAACGUAAACGUAAUUGAAAAAUAACAACAA
Molecule: long non-coding RNA, 1432 nt
Organism: Myotis lucifugus (little brown bat)
Lineage: Eukaryota; Metazoa; Chordata; Mammalia; Chiroptera; Vespertilionidae
Exons: 4
Source: RefSeq, a predicted model, not a curated record